Molecule: transfer RNA, 73 nt
Filed under: Stegodyphus mimosarum
Lineage: Eukaryota; Metazoa; Arthropoda; Arachnida; Araneae; Eresidae
Rfam family: tRNA
About the family: Transfer RNA (tRNA) molecules are approximately 80 nucleotides in length. Their secondary structure includes four short double-helical elements and three loops (D, anti-codon, and T loops). Further hydrogen bonds mediate the characteristic L-shaped molecular structure. tRNAs have two regions of fundamental functional importance: the anti-codon, which is responsible for specific mRNA codon recognition, and the 3' end, to which the tRNAs corresponding amino acid is attached (by aminoacyl-tRNA synthetases). tRNAs cope with the degeneracy of the genetic code in two manners: having more than one tRNA (with a specific anti-codon) for a particular amino acid; and 'wobble' base-pairing, i.e. permitting non-standard base-pairing at the 3rd anti-codon position.
Source: Rfam by way of RNAcentral
GCCUUCGUGGUGUAGUGGUCAGCACGCUCGACGCGUAACCUAGAGGUCCAUGGUUCGAUUCCCGGCGAAGGGG